RNAcentral lists this non-coding RNA (23 nucleotides) under Arabidopsis thaliana (thale cress). Lineage: Eukaryota; Viridiplantae; Streptophyta; Magnoliopsida; Brassicales; Brassicaceae. The record is from RNAcentral.
UUUGACCUACUUCUUCAAGGGCA